GACGAACGCUGGCGGCGUGCUUAACACAUGCAAGUCGAACGAAGUGGCGCACGGGUGAGUAACGCGUAAUCAACCUGCCCUUCAGAGGGUGACAACAGUUGGAAACGACUGCUAAUACCGCAUACUGAAGGAGGGGAUUGCGUCUGGUUAGCUAGUUGGCGGGGUAACGGCCCACCAAGGCGAUGAUCAGUAGCCGGGCUGAGAGGAUUAACGGCCAAAAUGGGACUGGAACACGGCCCAGGCUCCUACGGGGGGCAGCAGUGGGGAAUCUUCCGAAAUGGACGAAAGUCUGACGGAGCAACGCCGCGUUGGUGAUGACGGCCUUCGGGUUGUAAAGCUAUGUUAAUCGGGACGCGGUACCGGAAUAGAAAGCAACGGCUAACUACGUGCCAGCAGCCGCGGUAAUAC
Molecule: ribosomal RNA, 408 nt
Filed under: uncultured bacterium
Lineage: Bacteria
Description: partial 16S ribosomal RNA
Rfam family: Bacterial small subunit ribosomal RNA
Source: RNAcentral